Molecule: ribosomal RNA, 300 nt
Filed under: uncultured Pyrobaculum sp.
Lineage: Archaea; Thermoproteati; Thermoproteota; Thermoprotei; Thermoproteales; Thermoproteaceae
Description: partial 16S ribosomal RNA
Rfam family: Bacterial small subunit ribosomal RNA
Source: RNAcentral
GCUGAGUCGGGGAAUGCGGGAGCGGGAAUGCGGGGGGGGGGAGCGUUGGUCGGAGUGACUGGGGGUGAAGGACACGUAGGCGGAUCACAAAGAUGGGGGGGAAAGCCCGGGUGUCAACCUCGGAACUGCCCUCAAAACUAUUGGUGUGGAGUUGGAGAGAUGUGAGUGGAAUUCCGAGUGUAUGGGGGAAAUUCGGAGAUAUUCGGAGGAACACCAGUGGCGAAGGCGGCGCACUGGCUCGAUACUGACGCUGAGGUGCGAAAGCGUGGUGAGCAAACAGGAUUAGAUACCCCGGUAGUC